This 463-nucleotide long non-coding RNA is filed under the name Hordeum vulgare. RNAcentral's name for it is "long non-coding RNA (HVUL_LNC001449)". The record is from RNAcentral. Lineage: Eukaryota; Viridiplantae; Streptophyta; Magnoliopsida; Poales; Poaceae.
UUUAUAAGUGAGACUCUCUUUGGUGGGGAUUCUUUGUCGAUCAACUUCCACUUCUCGCACGUUUGGAGCAACUCCCAACAAUGCUCUAAUUUGAAGAAUUUGCCUUCCGAAGCUUCCAUGUCCUUGUAUCUAUGUUGAGCAAUCUUGUCCUACAAAAUGUGAACAAAGUGAUGCAAUCAUUUCCCAUGAUACAUUAUGAUGAUGCACAACUUGAACAAAGGAAAAACAAACUCACAUAGUCGGACUCCAUGGUGUCACUUGGAGGUGCAUUGCGUACUUGCUCCAAGCAAGUUGUCCAACGGGUGCACAUAGGCUUGAUAUUCUCCCAACGCCCUUGAAGCGACCGAAAUGUGCGUGGAGUCCUAUUGGGAUACUUUUUCAUAAUGCGGAAGUAUUGAUCUUCGAUCCUUUGCCAAUAUCUCUUGGCGGUUUGAGAAACAUCUGUGCAUGCAUCAAUAGACAC